GAUCAUGGCUCAGGAUGAACGCUAGCUACAGGCUUAACACAUGCAAGUCGAGGGGCAGCAUUUUUAUAGCAAUAUAAAAGAUGGCGACCGGCGCACGGGUGAGUAACACGUAUCCAACCUGCCGAUAACUCGGGGAUAACCCUUCGAAAGAAGGCCUAAUACCCGAUGGCAUAUCCCUUCCGCCUGGUGGGGAUAUUAAAGAACUUCGGCCAUCGAUGGGGAUGCGUUCCAUUAGCUUGUUGGCGGGG
Molecule: ribosomal RNA, 248 nt
Filed under: uncultured bacterium
Lineage: Bacteria
Description: partial 16S ribosomal RNA
Rfam family: Bacterial small subunit ribosomal RNA
Source: RNAcentral